Molecule: RNA transcript, 1312 nt
Organism: Solanum stenotomum
Lineage: Eukaryota; Viridiplantae; Streptophyta; Magnoliopsida; Solanales; Solanaceae
Gene name: protein disulfide-isomerase SCO2-like
Exons: 4
Source: RefSeq, a predicted model, not a curated record
UUGUUCCUCUUUUCUUUGUCAGUAGCAAUAUCUUGUUUUCCUUGGAAUGCUGCCAAUUAACCCUACUUCCAUUGUCACCCCUCUCAAGUUCUCCAUUGUCACAUUCUCAUUUCCUCAUUCGAACACCAUCUCUAUUCGUUGCAACGCCGCCUCUGAUCCAUCCUCCUCCUCCUCCUCUUUCAACUUCGUCGGUGCUGCUGAUGCCGCUUCCGCCGGUAGAAUUUCCAAAAAAUCUCUAGGCACUUCUCCGGUGGAGAAGCGAACGGCGAGUAACACCAAAAAUACGAAAAUUAAUGCCUGGGAAAAGCCUUGGUCGCGCAACCGAGAAAGCUACUUGGCCGAUGAUAGUGAACCUCUUCCUCUUCCCAUGACUUAUCCUGACACUUCUCCUGUUUCGCCCGACGAAAUUGACUGUCGCCUUCACUGUGAUCCCCAAAUACAGGAUUGCAAGGAAGUCGUCUAUGAGUGGACUGGGAAAUGUCGGAGUUGCCAAGGAACGGGAUUUGUAAGUUACUACAACAAACGAGGGAAGGAGACCAUCUGUAAAUGCAUACCUUGCCUUGGAAUCGUACCAGCUUAAACGAGAAAGUAAAGAAUGGAUACAAUUAGCUGACUGAAAAGAAGACAAUUGACACUUCUGUAUUUUCUUGAAGACUGGAACUCAUAUCCCUUUGAUGAAAGUGAAGACGAAAGGUUCAUUACAAUUUCUCUCUCAUGGUUUUUGUGAGUUUAAACUCUGUAAAAGGAUGGAUGUCAGUUAUAAAAUACCCCACAAGGUUAUGUGCAGAAGAUUACAGCACGCAAGGAUAUUGAUGUUAUGGAGGACUUAGAUAAUGGAAAACCACCUUGGCAGAAGUUAAAUAUCUAAUGCACUUUUUUGUCUAACAUUAGCAGACAUUGAUGAUAGCUUUGAAGAGGCUUUUUUUCACUACUGAAUCCUAGUAUUCUUUAAGGUGCAAAGAGGUUGCAAUACUGACAAUUUUUGGAGUCAGCUAAAAGAGAUAUGCCUCCAUACUACAUUCAUAGUGCAAGCAACAAGUUCUUGAAGAUCAAGGGCGGUGUUCUGGGAGGAAUGAUGAUUAUUUUUUAUAAGUAAAUGCUUAUUUCAUUUAUUCCCCUGAUUAUUUCAUAUACUUUUUAUACAUUGACGCUGGACUCGUGGUUGUUAAUAAAUCAUUGAUGUAUGAAAUCUGGUCUCCCUCUUGAAGGACCAGAAUGUGUUCCCCGUUUAUGGCCUCCUGACCAUUCUGUUGUGUAACAUUUGUCUUGCCUGUUCAUCAUUUUAAUAUUAACGAUAAGUGUGUUACUGAAA